Molecule: ribosomal RNA, 262 nt
Filed under: uncultured bacterium
Lineage: Bacteria
Description: partial 16S ribosomal RNA
Rfam family: Bacterial small subunit ribosomal RNA
Source: RNAcentral
GGGUUUAAAGGGUGCGUAGGCGGAUUNNUAAGUCAGAGGUGAAAUUUUGCGGCUCAACCGUAAGCUUGCCUUUGAUACUGAUAAUCUUGAAUUAACUUGAGGUAGGCGGAAUGUGACAAGUAGCGGUGAAAUGCAUAGAUAUGUCACAGAACACCANUUGCGAAGGCAGCUUACUAAGGUUAUANUGACGCUGAGGCACGAAAGCGUGGGGAUCAAACAGGAUUAGAUACCCUGGUAGUCCACGCCNUAAACGAUGAAUACU